GAUGAACGCUGGCGGCGUGCCUAAUACAUGCAAGUCGAGCGAAUGAAGAGGAGCUUGCUCCUCUGAUUUAGCGGCGGACGGGUGAGUAACACGUGGGUAAUCUGCCUGUAAGACGGGGAUAACUCCGGGAAACCGGGGCUAAUACCGGAUAACAAAAGAAGAAGCAUUUCUUCUUUUUGAAAGUCGGUUUCGGCUGACGCUUACAGAUGAGCCCGCGGCGCAUUAGCUAGUUGGUGAGGUAACGGCUCACCAAGGCGACGAUGCGUAGCCGACGUGGGGGGGUGAGCGGCCAACCUGGGACUGAGACACGACCCAGACUCCGACGGGAGGCAGCAGUAGGGAAUCUUCGGCAAUGGGCGAAAGCCUGACCGAGCAACGCCGCGUGAGCGAUGAAGGCCUUCGGGUCGUAAAGCUCUGUUGUUAGGGAAGAACACGUACGAGAGUAACUGCUCGUACCUUGACGGUACCUAACCAGAAAGCCACGGCUAACUACGUGCCAGCCGCCGCGGUAA
Molecule: ribosomal RNA, 512 nt
Filed under: uncultured bacterium
Lineage: Bacteria
Description: partial 16S ribosomal RNA
Rfam family: Bacterial small subunit ribosomal RNA
Source: RNAcentral